Molecule: ribosomal RNA, 229 nt
Filed under: uncultured bacterium
Lineage: Bacteria
Description: partial 16S ribosomal RNA
Rfam family: Bacterial small subunit ribosomal RNA
Source: RNAcentral
UGCGUAGGCGGGCUAAUAAGUCAGUGGUGAAAUCUCUCGGCUCAACCGGGAAACUGCCAUUGAUACUGUUAGUCUUGAGUUCGGUUGAGGUAGGCGGAAUGUGUAAUGUAGCGGUGAAAUGCUUAGAUAUUACACAGAACACCAAUUGCGUAGGCAGCUCACUAGACCGACACUGACGCUGAGGCACAAAAGCGUGGGGAGCGAACAGGAUUAGAUACCCUGGUAGUCC